Molecule: non-coding RNA, 1665 nt
Organism: Theobroma umbraticum
Lineage: Eukaryota; Viridiplantae; Streptophyta; Magnoliopsida; Malvales; Malvaceae
Source: RefSeq, a predicted model, not a curated record
UUCAUAGCAGCAAAAUAAUGUCAAGGAACUCAUCAAUCACAUACUCCAACGGGUAAACAACUAUAUCUAAUUCUACAAAGAUUGACUUUUUAUCUUUAAAAAAAAAUGGAGAUUUCUUGAUAAAUGAGCCUGAUUUCUACCUUAUCAUAUUAUUAAACAGGUUUCUUUUAGCGUAAAUUAACCCUACCAUCUUAGGUUUUGCUCAUAAUUAUACGUGGGUCCAUUAGUAUUGACAAUAAACAGCCCGCUCCAAAAAUAUAAAAGGCGUUAACAAAUAACAUAAAAUGUCCAAAAUACCCAUUGCAUAAAACGUCACUACCCACUGUUCAUCUCCUUUGUCUCUUCAACCUCUCCCCACACCAAUAGCUUAGGGUUAAAGUUUUUUUAGAUUUUCAGAACAUUGAACUUCCCCUUAUCAACCCCUUUCCCAAUUUUCCUUCUUUCUCUCCACUCUUUUCCUUUAUCUUCUUCGUCUUUCCUUCUCCUCUCCUUCUUCCCCAAACAACACGAAUGCCCUCACUCUCUUUCAACUCCAAGUCGACACUCACGGCAACCUCCUCUCCAACUGGACCAGCCACGACGCCUGUUCCUCCGCGUGGCAUGGCAUCAUUUGCUUUUCAUAAAACCGUACACCUCACCCCAUUACCAGAAACGUCAGUUGAGUUUCGUUUAGUGUUUAUCCAUGGAACCACUAUCAUUUCCACUAACAAAACAGGUGUAAAAUGCCCUUCCAAUAAGGCCAAAAAUUUGUGAUAUUACUCCAUUACUCCACUACAUAUUGGUUUUCCUAAUCAUGAUUAAGCACAAUUUUUCAGUCUAUAAAAUUCUACCCUGGAAAGCAAUAUUUACUAGCUUCAUCAAAUGAAAAUUGCAGAAGGAAGAUAAGACAGGAUAGGUUGAUCAUGAAGAGGGUACUUCUGAUUCUGUUUUUCCUGGGAUGGUUAUUGUUGCAUUGUCAAGCUAAUGGCAGAAGAUUUUUAUUGGGGGUGAAGAUAGAGAAAACAGGUAAUCAGGUUGCAUCUGAUGAUGAACCUGGCAAGUCAGGAACUGAUGAGAAACCGGUCACUGCUUUAGUUCCAACAAUUGAUACAAAAAGUGAUAAUGGAACUAGCAGCAAAAGUAACACAAGAAACAGCAACAAAGAUGAGAGCAACAAUGGCUAUGGGACCUUUGGAAAUCCAUCUGGAUCAUCAACUGGCCGCGUUUAAGAAACAAUGAGUUUUUCUUCUUCCCUUAAAAGUUUGAAAGAGCUUAAUCGCGCCAACAAUGAGUUCAUGCAAGUAACAGAGAUACUAAAAAUGUUUGGUUGGGUAAAAUUAUCCUUAAAAGUAUUGCUACAUCAUUAAAGUAACGGAAACACUAUGGGCCAAACUUAAGGAGGUAGGGUAAUUUAUCCUUUCUUUUAACAUCAAACAAAGCUGAAUAAGUUUAACCAUGAUUAUCAAACUUAAUUAACUAAUUAAGAACGAAAAUCAGCGAACAAAAAUGAGAUAUUACAGCUCAAAUCACAUAGUUAGUUUCUAUAAUUUCCUAAAAUUUGAAAUUUAGGAUUGCAUUAUUACCAAAUCAAAACAAGACAGAAAUCAUAUUCACCCAACGUCAAAAAAAAAAAAAUCCGAUUUUGUUCUUCACAAUUAAAUCGAAAAACAAAUAAGAAAUCUGAGA